Molecule: transfer RNA, 70 nt
Filed under: Loxodonta africana (African savanna elephant)
Lineage: Eukaryota; Metazoa; Chordata; Mammalia; Proboscidea; Elephantidae
Rfam family: tRNA
About the family: Transfer RNA (tRNA) molecules are approximately 80 nucleotides in length. Their secondary structure includes four short double-helical elements and three loops (D, anti-codon, and T loops).
Source: Rfam by way of RNAcentral
GCGUUGGUGGUUCAGUGGUAGAAUCCUCUCUUCCACGAGGGAGACCCAGGUUUGAUUCCUGGCCAGUGUG